UACGUAGGGUGCAAGCGUUAAUCGGAAUUACUGGGCGUAAAGCGUGCGCAGGCGGUUAUGUAAGACAGAUGUGAAAUGCCCGGGCUUAACCUGGGAACUGCAUUUGUGACUGCAUGGCUAGAGUUUGGCAGAGGGGGGUAGAAUUCCACGUGUAGCAGUGAAAUGCGUAGAUAUGUGGAGGAACACCGAUGGCGAAGGCAGCCCCCUGGGUCAAGACUGACGCUCAUGCACGAAAGGCGUGGGGAGCAAACGAGG
RNAcentral lists this ribosomal RNA (255 nucleotides) under uncultured bacterium. Its description in RNAcentral is "partial 16S ribosomal RNA". It matches the Rfam family "Bacterial small subunit ribosomal RNA", at positions 524 to 777 of the family's 1533-position model. The record is from RNAcentral.